GACGAACGCUGGCGGCGUGCUUAACACAUGCCAGUCGAACGCUGAAGCUCAGCUUUUGUUGGGUGGAUGAGUGGCGAACGGGUGAGUAACACGUGAGUAACCUGCCUCCUUCUUUGGGAUAACGCCCGGAAACGGGUGCUAAUACUGGAUAUUCACUGGUCUUCGCAUGGGGGUUGGUGGAAAGGGUUUUUCUGGUGGGGGAUGGGCUCGCGGCCUAUCAGCUUGUUGGUGGGGUGAUGGCCUACCAAGGCUUUGACGGGUAGCCGGCCUGAGAGGGUGACCGGUCACAUUGGGACUGAGAUACGGCCCAGACUCCUACGGGAGGCAGCAGUGGGGAAUAUUGCACAAUGGGCGCAAGCCUGAUGCAGCGACGCCGCGUGAGGGAUGGAGGCCUUCGGGUUGUGAACCUCUUUCGCUCAUGGUCAAGCCGCAACAAUGGUUGUGGUGUGGGUAGUGGGUAAAGAAGCGCCGGCUAACUACGUG
RNAcentral lists this ribosomal RNA (483 nucleotides) under uncultured bacterium. Its description in RNAcentral is "partial 16S ribosomal RNA". It matches the Rfam family "Bacterial small subunit ribosomal RNA", at positions 28 to 507 of the family's 1533-position model. The record is from RNAcentral.